Molecule: ribosomal RNA, 440 nt
Filed under: uncultured bacterium
Lineage: Bacteria
Description: partial 16S ribosomal RNA
Rfam family: Bacterial small subunit ribosomal RNA
Source: RNAcentral
UCUACGGGAGGCAGCAGUAGGGAAUAUUCCUCAAUGGAGGAAACCCUGAAGCAGCAACGCCGCGUGGGGGAUGAAGGUUUUCGGAUUGUAAACUCCUGUUGUUAGAGAAGAUAAUGGCGGUAUCUAACUAAUCAUCCCCUGCUAACUCCGUUCCAGCAGCCGCGGUCAUACGGAGGGUGCAAGCGUUACUCGGAAUCACUGGGCGUAAAGAGCGCGUAGGCGGGAUAGCAAGUCAGAUGUAAAAUCCUAUGGCUUAACCAUAGAACUGCAUUUGAAACUGUUAGGCUAGAGUAUGGGAGAGGUAGGUGGAAUUCUUGGUGUAGGGGUAAAAUCCGUAGAGAUCAAGAGGAAUACUCAUUGCGAAGGCGACCUGCUAGAACAUAACUGACGCUGAUGCGCGAAAGCGUGGGGAGCAAACAGGAUUAGAUACCCUAGUAGUC